This 504-nucleotide ribosomal RNA is filed under the name uncultured bacterium. RNAcentral's name for it is "partial 16S ribosomal RNA". It matches the Rfam family "Bacterial small subunit ribosomal RNA", at positions 30 to 523 of the family's 1533-position model. The record is from RNAcentral.
AUUGAACGCUGGCGGCAGGCUUAACACAUGCAAGUCGAGCGGAGCGAGGGUGCUUGCACCUUAGCUUAGCGGCGGACGGGUGAGUAAUGCUUAGGAAUCUGCCUAUUAGUGGGGGACAACAUUCCGAAAGGAAUGCUAAUACCGCAUACGCCCUACGGGGGAAAGCAGGGGAUCUUCAGACCUUGCGCUAAUAGAUGAGCCUAAGUCGGAUUAGCUAGUUGGUGGGGUAAAGGCCUACCAAGGCGGCGAUCUGUAGCGGGUCUGAGAGGAUGAUCCGCCACACUGGGACUGAGACACGGCCCAGACUCCUACGGGAGGCAGCAGUGGGGAAUAUUGGACAAUGGGCGGAAGCCUGAUCCAGCCAUGCCGCGUGUGUGAAGAAGGCCUUUUGGUUGUAAAGCACUUUAAGCGAGGAGGAGGCUACUUAGAUUAAUACUCUGGGAUAGUGGACGUUACUCGCAGAAUAAGCACCGGCUAACUCUGUGCCAGCAGCCGCCGCAGUAA